RNAcentral lists this small RNA (1791 nucleotides) under Rattus norvegicus (Norway rat). RNAcentral's name for it is "uncharacterized LOC103693292". The record is from RNAcentral. Lineage: Eukaryota; Metazoa; Chordata; Mammalia; Rodentia; Muridae.
UUUUUUUUCUCCCUUUGUGCUUCCAUUGAUGUUGAACUCUGAUCUUACUGCUUCUGCCUCUCAAGCUUUGGGGUAACAGUUGUGCACCAGAACACCUAGGUUGCUUUCUUUCAAAGCUGAACUUGCCCUUGAAUGACUUAUUCAACUCAUUGUGGAACUGCCUCAGUUUCCAUAGUAGCUGGGACCAUUACCCUAAAGCUUUGUUUUGCUUUGCUCAAGGUUUAGCUGCUUUGGGUCAAUUCAAUGAUAUUUUAGUGGAGGUGGCACAUCUUAGGACAUUCCUCCUCAGUUAGCUGAGAGAACCAGCCUGAGAAGGUUGGCCUUCCCAGGGUAUAGAAACUUUCCAGCUGUUUCCACUUGUUCCCCUCUCCUAUUGCAACUGCAGAAAAGUCCUUGGGCCCAAACAGUGGAACCAGGGUUAAAGCUGACAAGCUAGUGACACAAGCACCCCAGACAGAUAGGUUGCCACCCAGACAGCCUUUAUUCAGGACUUGCAGCCCUCGAUAGCCCCAGUGUUGUUACCACCAACAGAGAGAACCAUGGUGGGUUCUUUUCUGACUCUGUGUCUGAAUGGAUUUGUGGAACACUGCAUGUUUAUGUACAGUGUGCAGAAGAUGGAUGGACAUGGAUGAGCCAACCUGGGCCUGGAGUGUGGAGACAAGACUUGGAUGAGGACACCUCAUGGAAUUGAGCCCCGAAAUUUAAGUGUCUAGGCUCGGGUGGAGAGCUACUGUCAGGACCAGAGAACUUAUCCUCCUCCACCUGCGAGAUCUCCACAGUGAAUUCACCCUGCAGAUGGGAGGCCAGUACCACCCUGGAACACGGGAAGCAGUUAUAGGAAGAGAGACAGGCCAUCCUUUCAGCCGCUGACUCUCCCCGAAUAUGCCCACCUGAUGUCGGCUGGAUAGGUUCACAGGAAAGUUGGCAGGGUCCCCAGGAAGCAGCAGAGCUUGUAAAAGCUGCACAUGGUUGGUUCCGAUGGGGCAGAACCACAUACAUAGUCACAAAUACACAUCAUCUGAGGUUUAACUGCAGCACCUCUUUUAACUAAACACACAUUUAGUUGUGGGACUUCUUGGUGUUUGUGAAUAGUGAGCAGGUAGGGCAGCCAUGUGGUUCCCCCAACCUUAACUGCCAAGCGCCCGGUGGAAACCUCAGGUGAGCCUUGUGCCCCACAUCCCUGACAGGGUAAGGCUGGUCUUGGCUUGCUUCCUGGGGACCACCUGCCAUCUCCAUGCAAGUUGCAGUUGCUCCCCUAAAUGUGCUUGGUGGCGGACAAUCAGAAGCAAUGUGGCACACUCUCGGGGGUGUUGAGUUUGGCACAGGAGUGGAAUGCUCUAGGGGCCACAAGGAUGAGCCUCUUCAUACAGCGCUCCCACACAUGGCCCACCCUGAUCUGCUGAGCUUAGCAGGAACACAGAGCCCAGCCCCUCUGCAUGUCUGCAGAGACAUGCCUAGAGAGAGGCCAAAGGAUGGGGCUUCUGUCAUAGACUCAGUCUUGCGUAUGCCUUCCCUUUGAACUCGCAGAAGCUGUAAUUACUCCUAUGAAGGCAGUUACUGGAAAAUUGUUAUCCUUUAGGGACAGGCACACCCCCUACCUGCUUGGGGGGCAGAGUUGUGAAGUUGUAACAUCGGACUUUAAAGAAUUCCUGACAUCCAGCCACCACACUGUGUGAAGCGAUUUGGGAAGAUGAGGAGAACUCCAGCUGCAGCUGUGACUGUGGGGUGCUCUGCUUCCUGCCUGCUCUGACUCUGGGGUUCUCAAGAUCCUCCCCCAAACACCUUAGGAAU